GAAAGGGCUGAAAAUUUUUCAUUGAAAGAAAUAGACAAUUCUCACUAUUAAUUUGUGCUAAGUAUUUGAGUAUUUAGAUUUAGAAGAAGAUUUGAGUAUUUAAAAUAUUGUUUAUUUUGUUAAAAAUAAAAUAACCGAUAACACGAAAGUUAAGAAUUUAAUAUUGAAUCAAACAAACGCGUCGAAAGUAGUCAGGCAAGCAGCAACACAGAGUCGCAGUCGAGUUAUAGCAACGAAAGUAACGACGGGAGCGGCAAGAGCAACGGCAACAGUGACGAAAAUAAAGAAAAGUGGACAUCAAGGAAAUUAAAAAAUUUCUAAAAAUAUUUGCAAUUAUUUAAAUCGGUGUACAAUUCAAAGUUAAAAAUGGUCCUUAAGGUUUAUGUAAGCGGAAUGUCCGGCAAUAAAGAGGUCAAAAAACGCCAGCAACGCGUUUUGAUGAUUUUGGACAGCAAGAAUAUCAAGUACGACAUUGUGGACAUAACGGAACCAGGGAAAGAAAGCGAAAAAGAGUUGAUGCAAACAAAAUCGACCAGCAAUGGUGCCACAGUAAGUGACCCAGAGCCAAGACAUCCACUGCCACCACAAAUAUUCAACCAGGAAGAAUAUUGUGGGGAUUAUGAUGCCUUUGAUUUGGCCAAUGAAAUAGAUACAUUAGAGCAGUUCUUGAAGCUGGCACCGGCCGAUACCACAGCUGUUUCUAGUGCUCAGCUGGAGUUGAAGCAGGAAAAUGGAGAAGUAAAAGCAUCAGAUGAUGAGAACAAAGAAAAUGUCGAAGAGAAACCUGAAAGAGAAGAGGUCGGUAAAACGGCUGACGACAGUCAAGCCGCUGCCGAUGCUGGGGAGAGUGCAAACGGUGAUGGCGAGACCAAGAAUGCUGAGAAUGAAACGCAGGAGGAACAAAAUGAAGAAAAGAAAGACGAAACUGAAACGGCCGAAGCCGAUACAGAAGAGGGCAAAUCCAUAGCAGAGACUGUUAAAGAAGAAGUGGCUGAGGAGCAGUCAAAGAGUGACGAUACAAAACCAAAUAAUGCAGAAGGCGAUCCGACCGAGACGCAAAAAGCGGAAACUAAACCCGACGACGAACAAAAGAGCGUAAAAGUAGGAGACAGCGAAAAUGCCGAAGACACAGCAGAAACGGAAGUAGCGAAAGAUAAAUCCAAUGAGGAAACGGAAGAUAAAACGGAGAGUAAACCGGAACCCGAAGACAAUGCAAAGGAGGAAACGGCGAAAAAAGAAAGUGUCAUAGAAGCAGAAACAUCGGCGGUGGAAACAGAUUCUUUGAAAGAAUAUACAGAGGAAGACAUUCAAAAAGAUGAAACCGCAAAAUUAGAAACGGAGAACCAAGAUACCAGUAAUGACAAAGACGAAGAAGCUGAAAAAGAAGCAGAAAAUUCUGAAGCAAAUGAGAAGGAUGUUGUUGAUGAAAGUAAAAAAGAAAUCGGUGAAACGGACGAAACCGGCAACGAUGAUGCACAGAUUGUUGGUGAUGAAAAUGAAGUAGCUGAAAAAGAGAGUGAAAAAACAACAGCAGAUGUAAGGGAAAAUGUAGAAUCCUAUAACGAUGAUAAUGAGAAUGCAAGUGAAGAAAACGUGACGAGCGAAGAAGAAGAUGAUGAUGAAGAAGAAUCAAGCUCAUCGGAAAAAGUUAUGGAUAAGGCAGAAGAUACCGCAGAAAAUAAAGAUGACAUUAAGGAAGAGAUUGUUAGCAACGAUCACGAUGAUAUUGAAUAGUAAUAAUACCAUUAAAAUGAAGAGAAACCUCUUCCGCGAUCGACUGCUUAGCUUUUGGAUAUGUUACAUAUCAUUAAUUAACUUUUAUUUAUUAAAUACAUCGUCCUUAGUUUCUCACUUUAAAAUGGUUUUGGAGUUACCCCCUAGCACUUCAUGAGUCAUUAUUUGUAAAUUUGAUCAUGCAUCACCGAAAAGCACUGAACGUAGUAAACACAAGCCAACACACUCCUUCAUAAAAUUAUGGACAAUGAAAGGCUCACACAAUCUACACCGCAUAGGAAUGUCACCCAUGCCAAAGUGGAAG
Molecule: unclassified non-coding RNA, 2038 nt
Filed under: Bactrocera tryoni
Lineage: Eukaryota; Metazoa; Arthropoda; Insecta; Diptera; Tephritidae
Description: myb-like protein X, transcript variant X2
Source: RNAcentral